RNAcentral lists this ribosomal RNA (253 nucleotides) under uncultured bacterium. Its description in RNAcentral is "partial 16S ribosomal RNA". It matches the Rfam family "Bacterial small subunit ribosomal RNA", at positions 524 to 776 of the family's 1533-position model. The record is from RNAcentral.
UACGUAGGGGGCUAGCGUUGUUCGGAAUUACUGGGCGUAAAGCGCACGUAGGCGGAUUGUUAAGUCAGAGGUGAAAUCCCGGAGCUCAACUUCGGAACUGCCUUUGAUACUGGCAAUCUAGAGUCCGGAAGAGGUUAGUGGAAUUCCCAGUGUAGAGGUGAAAUUCGUAGAUAUUGGGAAGAACACCAGUGGCGAAGGCGGCUAACUGGUCCGGUACUGACGCUGAGGUGCGAAGGCGUGGGGAGCGAACGGG